RNAcentral lists this unclassified non-coding RNA (231 nucleotides) under Hevea brasiliensis (rubber tree). The record is from RNAcentral. Lineage: Eukaryota; Viridiplantae; Streptophyta; Magnoliopsida; Malpighiales; Euphorbiaceae.
CUCUCUCUCUCUCUCUCUUAUUAUAAUCUAUUUACUCCUAUUUGUUAAACCAUCCAUACAUCGAACAUAUUAUGAUGUAAAGGCCAUCCGAACUUGCUAUUUCAACAUAGGAUCUAUUUCGAAUUUAGUUUACAUUUACCGAUUCGUACCGUUGUCUAAAUUUGAAACCAUUGCACCUUCUGGCUACAAUGACCAUAUAAAAAGAUUAUAAUAAGAGAGAGAGAGAGAGAG